Molecule: long non-coding RNA, 1683 nt
Organism: Raphanus sativus (radish)
Lineage: Eukaryota; Viridiplantae; Streptophyta; Magnoliopsida; Brassicales; Brassicaceae
Exons: 2
Source: RefSeq, a predicted model, not a curated record
ACAGUUUUAACUCUUAUAUAACAUUCAAGCAACUGAUUGUAUUCCCUAUCUUCUUCUUUUUUUCACUGAAGCGUAGCUUCUUCUUCAUCAUUUUUGUAUGUUUUGAGUGUAGCAAAAAAAUUACACAAGUUUAAGUCUCGCAUCUAUUCAUAUUUUUUUCCUUCUUAACUUAACACUCUAAUUCUUUUUGCAUGAUUCAGGUUGGAGAUGGUGUUUAAGAGAUUCCUGUGUUCAAAACUUCUUUUUUCGAAAAAAGAAACUAAGAUCUUUCUCAACAACUUAGAAAGGAAAACGAGAGUAAAAGACUCACCUUAAAGCACAACUACAAAGCCCCAAACAAGCAACACCAAGAAGAGGAAGAAGAAAGAAACAUGCGGUGAACUAGAAAGCUACGAACGGGGCAUAAUAGCGUGGUAGGGGAAACGACAACGACCCCAUGACUUGAUCAAGAUCAAGUCUUAUGUUAGUUUUCCAUUUUUAUGUUCAUAAAGUGGCAUUAAUUUUGUUGACGUACGGAUCAAAAUAGAGUUUUCUUUUUUUCUGAAUGAUAUAGUAUAUCAAGUUUGUAGCUUUCCUCUGAAAUAAAAAUGGGAGAAGAAUUAUAGCAAUCAAAAGGAAGAAAGGUAGAUGAGCACAAGAAAGAAAACUCAUUAUACAUACAUAGGAAAAAAAAGAUGGGGAAGAAUGUAAAGUUGGAGCAGCUUGAUUUUACCAUUAUACAAUAACGACAAAGCUUUUUUUUUAACAACGAACAACGACAAAGAUAUGAUGUGUCUAAGUUUUCAACCUUUUUUAUUUCAUCUAAGUUUUCAAUUCUAUGUUUACUGCGUCUAAUAGUGAAUUCAAUUUAAAUUAUUCCAUCCUGUUAGUUUUGAGUAUUACUUUUUACUGAAAAAUAGAUCUCAAUAGAUAAAAAAAAUGUUCAAUUAAUAUACAUUUGUAUAUUGAUAUAGUUUGUUAGAUGUAAAACUAGCAAAAUACAGUCAAAUGAUGUGAAUAGUUAAGGUUGGCACAUUAUUAAUUAUUCUUCUUCAAGAAAUUUUAGUUCCCUCAUUUUUUAUAUUAGUUAUUUAUUUAUUUUAAAAUAUUUUAUAAUAGUUUUCAAUUUUUUCUUAUGUUAAUUAAUAAUAACUCUAAAAAUAACUUUUAAUUAUAUAAAUGUAUUUAUAAUAUUCUUUAGUUUAUAAAAUAUAUAAAAAAUACUAUAUCCGUGCAUAGCACGGGAGAUAAUACUAAUAUAAUGUAUUACUGGUGUGAGACCCACUAAUCAACCAUAGUUUUUGUUUUAUAUCUCAUCUGACAUUCACUUAUUGAUGUAGGGUAGAUAUGAUUUGAAUCUUCUUAUCCUUAUUGUUAAACAAGCACCAACUAUAAUUAAAUCACUAUCGUAUAAAUGCUUGUCAUCACACUAACCAUGGUUAAAUUUUUGUUGUAUAGUUAAUCAUAUGAUAUGAGACCCACUAAUUAACCAUAGUUGAAUUAUAUGUUCCAUUAUGCUAACCAGAUUAUUUUAGUUGAAUCAUUAGAAGCUAAAAGUAAAAUAUAUCAUUUUACCAAACAGUAGAAACCUUACAAGAGACAAGAGGACGCAUCGCCACCGUUAAAAACCAUCACAGAAACUAGAGAUCGAACGGUAACUAACAACAAGAAAGAAAAAGUUGCGAAUACAGCAAAAAAAGAAAA